ACUUUAGAAGAAAUAAC
RNAcentral lists this small RNA (17 nucleotides) under Arabidopsis thaliana (thale cress). RNAcentral's name for it is "ATSL189130". Lineage: Eukaryota; Viridiplantae; Streptophyta; Magnoliopsida; Brassicales; Brassicaceae. The record is from RNAcentral.